Long non-coding RNA from Xenia sp. Carnegie-2017, 390 nucleotides. RefSeq lists it as uncharacterized. The transcript has 2 exons. The record is from RefSeq and is a predicted model, not a curated record. NCBI's taxonomy places the organism in Eukaryota, Metazoa, Cnidaria, Anthozoa, Malacalcyonacea, Xeniidae.
AGAUUAAGACAUUUUGGAAAAUACUACCUUUCUCUUGAACUAUUGGAUAAAUUUAAAUCAGAAGAAUCUAGUUAUAACAAAGCUUGGUAUUUUAAUAUCCUCGGUCUUUUAUACCGAGACACCGGGAAAUAUAGCGAAGCUAAAAAUCAUCAUGAAAAAGCUCUGGAAAUUCAAAAACAAUCGUUAGAUCCAAAUUAUGUUGAUAUCGCUGUGUCUUUAAACAAUCUUGGAAUGGUGUUUGAUAAAACUGGAAACUACGACAAAGCUAUAGAGUGUUACGAAAAAGCUCUGGAAAUUCAAAAACAAUCGUUAGGUCCAAAUCAUGUUGAUGUCGCUGCGUCUUUAGGCAAUCUUGGUGGGGUGUUUAAAAAGACUGGAAACUACGACAAA